CAGGAGAUGAAGGCCGUUGGACAACAUAUUAUCAAUGUUAUUGUCAAACCCCAACUUAAUCGGAACUCUGCUGGCAUUUUUUCUUGACAAUACUGUUCCAGGAACUCGUGAAGAGAGAGGAAUUUUAGCAUGGCAAGUGCCCCAGGAUACGGAGACAGUCGAAGUAGAUCCGGAAAUGUACGACGAGGGAUAUGAAGUGUAUGAACCCUUAGUCCCUAAAUCCUUUUUGAAAUGGAAGGUCAUGAAGUAUAUACCUUUUCUACCAUACCGGCCAAAACAAACGGACUAAAACAUUUUCAUAAUGACGUCAACUCAGUAAAGACUAGAGAAAUACUACCAACCAAAGUGAUUUCGUCAUUGAUAUAAA
This is a long non-coding RNA of Ruditapes philippinarum (Manila clam), 367 nucleotides long. RefSeq lists it as uncharacterized. The transcript is spliced from 2 exons. The record is from RefSeq and is a predicted model, not a curated record. NCBI's taxonomy places the organism in Eukaryota, Metazoa, Mollusca, Bivalvia, Venerida, Veneridae.